UACGUAGGUGGCAAGCGUUGUCCGGAUUUACUGGGUGUAAAGGGCGUGCAGCCGGGCUGACAAGUCAGAUGUGAAAUCCCGCGGCUCAACCGCGGAACUGCAUUUGAAACUGUCAGUCUUGAGUACCGGAGAGGUCAUCGGAAUUCCUUGUGUAGCGGUGAAAUGCGUAGCUAUAAGGAAGAACACCAGUGGCGAAGGCGGAUGACUGGACGGCAACUGACGGUGAGGCGCGAAAGCGUGGGGAGCAAACAGG
Molecule: ribosomal RNA, 253 nt
Filed under: uncultured bacterium
Lineage: Bacteria
Description: partial 16S ribosomal RNA
Rfam family: Bacterial small subunit ribosomal RNA
Source: RNAcentral